RNAcentral lists this small RNA (28 nucleotides) under Bombyx mori (domestic silkworm). RNAcentral's name for it is "ovarian small RNA-2691". The record is from RNAcentral. Lineage: Eukaryota; Metazoa; Arthropoda; Insecta; Lepidoptera; Bombycidae.
GAGACGCACAAUCCCGCCGCCGUCGAGC